UUAAGACAUAAAAAUAUGCCGGAUAAUAAAAUCAACAGAUUAAAAUUCAAAGGAUAUGGCGGUGUUUUUAUAUAAUCAGGGGAACCUGUCUCUUAAAUCGAUACUCCACGAAAGUUCAACCUCUCUUUGAAUCUCAGCUUGUGUACUGCUGUCGUCAGUAAACCUAUAAAAGAAAGUUUACAACUAAUACCACCUAUUUAACGUCAAGUCAAAGUGCAGCACAUAAAGAGGUGAUCAUGGGUUACAAUCUUAAUAAAGACCACGAAUUAGUAUAAUAAAAAUACUAUGAAGGUGGACUUGAAAGUAAUAUUUACAAACCACAAAUAUAAAAAUUUCUAAAACAUGUACACAUCGCCCGUCACUCUCAUCUAAAGAC
This 376-nucleotide ribosomal RNA is filed under the name Fridericia tuberosa. Its description in RNAcentral is "partial 12S ribosomal RNA". Lineage: Eukaryota; Metazoa; Annelida; Clitellata; Enchytraeida; Enchytraeidae. The record is from RNAcentral.